RNAcentral lists this non-coding RNA (25 nucleotides) under Mus musculus (house mouse). The record is from RNAcentral. Lineage: Eukaryota; Metazoa; Chordata; Mammalia; Rodentia; Muridae.
UGUUUUCAAUGCGUCCCAGAUAUGA